GAUGAAGAACGCAGCGAAAUGCGAUACGUAAUGUGAAUUGCAGAAUUCAGUGAAUCAUCGAAUCUUUGAACGCAUAUUGCGCUCUCUGGUAUUCCGGAGAGCAUGCUUGUUUGAGUAUCAGUAAACACCUCAACUUCCAUAUCUUUUUUUGAAAUGGGAGUUGGACUUGAGUGAUCCCAACGCUUUUCCUCACCGAAAAGUGGCGGGUUACUUGAAAUGCAGGUGCAGCUGGACUUUUCUCUGAGCUAUAAGCAUAUCUAUUUAGUCUGCCUAAAAAACAGAUUAUUACCUUUGCUGCAGCUAACAUAAAGGAGAUUAGUUCUUGUGCUGACUGAUGCAGGAUUCACAAAGACAGCUUCGGCCGACUCUGUAAACUCGAUCUCAAAUCAAGUAAGACUACCCGCUGAACUUAAGCAUAUCAAUAAGCGGAGGA
RNAcentral lists this unclassified non-coding RNA (433 nucleotides) under soil metagenome. Its description in RNAcentral is "partial contains 5.8S ribosomal RNA, internal transcribed spacer 2, and large subunit ribosomal RNA". The stretch from base 1 to 120 matches the Rfam family "5.8S ribosomal RNA", at positions 35 to 154 of the family's 154-position model. The record is from RNAcentral.